UACAGAGGUGGCAAGCGUUGUUCGGAAUUACUGGGCGUAAAGGGCGCGUAGGCGGCCUUCUAAGUCAGACGUGAAAUCCCCGGGCUUAACCUGGGAACUGCGCUUGUUACUGGCAGGCUGGAGUGUGGCAGAGGGGGGUGGAAUUCCACGUGUAGCAGUGAAAUGCGUAGAGAUGUGGAGGAACACCGAUGGCGAAGGCAGCCCCCUGGGCUAACACUGACGCUCAUGCACGAAAGCGUGGGGGGCAAACAGG
RNAcentral lists this ribosomal RNA (253 nucleotides) under uncultured bacterium. RNAcentral describes it as "partial 16S ribosomal RNA". It matches the Rfam family "Bacterial small subunit ribosomal RNA", at positions 524 to 776 of the family's 1533-position model. The record is from RNAcentral.